Molecule: ribosomal RNA, 468 nt
Filed under: uncultured bacterium
Lineage: Bacteria
Description: partial 16S ribosomal RNA
Rfam family: Bacterial small subunit ribosomal RNA
Source: RNAcentral
GACGAACGCUGGCGGCGUGCCUAACACAUGCAAGUCGAACGGAAAGGCCCUGCUCUUGUGGGGUGCUCGUGUGCCGAACGGGUGAGUAAAACGCGAGUAACCUGCCCCUGUAUUUGGGAUAACUCCAGGAAAAUGGGGCUCAUAUAGGAUAGGAGCUCUUGAUGCAUGGUGGGGGUUGGAAAGAUUCGGCGGUUUGGGAUGGUAUCGAGGGAUAUCAGCCUGUUGGUGAGGUAGUGGCUUACCAAGGCUUUGACGGGUAGCCGGCCUGAGAGGGUGACCGGCGACAUGAGGACUGAGAUACGGCCCAGUCUCCUACGGGAGGCAGCAGUGGGGAAUAUUGCGCAGUAGGCGGAAGCCUGACGCAACGGUGCCGCGUGCGGGAUGACGGCCUUCGAGGUGUAAACCGCUUUCGCCGGAGACGAAGCGUGAGUGACGGUAAUGGGUAAGAAAGCACCGGCUAACUACGUG